GCAAGUAAAAGUCGUAACAAGGUUUCCGUAGGUGAACCUGCGGAAGGAUCAUUCAUAAUAAAGUGUUUUAUGGCACUUUUUAAAAAUCCAUAUCCACCUUGUGUGCAAUGUUAGAUCUCGUCAAUCUUGGCGAGAUUUUUAUACAUCAACUCAUUUUUUAACUAAUUUGUCUGAAAAAUAUUAUGAAUACUUAAUUCAAAAUACAACUUUCAACAACGGAUCUCUUGGCUCUC
This 233-nucleotide unclassified non-coding RNA is filed under the name plant metagenome. Its description in RNAcentral is "partial contains small subunit ribosomal RNA, internal transcribed spacer 1, and 5.8S ribosomal RNA". The stretch from base 1 to 54 matches the Rfam family "Eukaryotic small subunit ribosomal RNA", at positions 1778 to 1831 of the family's 1831-position model. The record is from RNAcentral.